RNAcentral lists this ribosomal RNA (483 nucleotides) under uncultured bacterium. Its description in RNAcentral is "partial 16S ribosomal RNA". It matches the Rfam family "Bacterial small subunit ribosomal RNA", at positions 28 to 523 of the family's 1533-position model. The record is from RNAcentral.
GACGAACGCUGGCGGCGUGCUUAACACAUGCAAGUCGAACGAUGAUGCCCAGCUUGCUGGGUGGAUUAGUGGCGAACGGGUGAGUAACACGUGAGUAACCUGCCCCUGACUCUGGGAUAAGCGUUGGAAACGACGUCUAAUACUGGAUAUGACUGCAGGCCGCAUGGUCUGGUGGUGGAAAGAUUUUUUGGUUGGGGAUGGACUCGCGGCCUAUCAGCUUGUUGGUGAGGUAAUGGCUCACCAAGGCGACGACGGGUAGCCGGCCUGAGAGGGUGACCGGCCACACUGGGACUGAGACACGGCCCAGACUCCUACGGGAGGCAGCAGUGGGGAAUAUUGCACAAUGGGCGAAAGCCUGAUGCAGCAACGCCGCGUGAGGGAUGACGGCCUUCGGGUUGUAAACCUCUUUUAGUAGGGAAGAAGCGAAAGUGACGGUACCUGCAGAAAAAGCACCGGCUAACUACGUGCCAGCAGCCGCGGUAA